AGAAAAAUGAUAUGAAUGUACAGUGAGGCGGUGACCACGUGAGGGCGGCAGCCAAUGACUGCUGCGGCUGCCAAAGUUGCCCGGUUCCUUCCUGGUGAUGGAUCACCCUGGCUGUGGCAUUUAAAUUCUGAGCGCCCCUUCAUCAAGGUGACGCGCAGACACCGCCGCCGCCUCCCUCCCUCCCACUCUCUUCUCAGCCAGCGUGUUGGGCUUGGAGAGCUGGGCCGACGAGCCAGUGUGCGCCCAAGCGCUCAACCUGGAGCAGCAGCCGCGGGAACAACAGCAGUGAGAAUAGAAAGCACUGAACGGCCGCCGGAGGGGGCUGCUCCAGCGUGGAUUGAAGGACCCAGAGCCUGCAGAUUUCUUUUCUUGGGACCUUUGGAACUCUGGGACGGAAAUCCAUCAGAAGUGUACCUUUCUUGGUUCCCCACACCAACAUUUCUUUCCAAUGGUUGGCAGAAAGAAUAAACACAGUGACUAAUAUAAAUAUACAUUUUUAUCUGUCUGCAUAACUGCAGCAAUCCUCCUAAGGAGCACUUUUUUUUCUUUUGCGGAAUAUUCUCUUUCAUAUAUGUGCGAGAGAGACAAACUCAGUGUUUUUAAUAGCUUUUAAUAUCACUAAAGCAGUAUUUUUGUGUAUUUUUAAUUCUAAUAUAUGGUAUGUAUUAAAUGGAGGAAAUGCUUGUUUUUAAUAAGGGUCAAAGAUAUUCUAAGUUAUGGGAAAAAUUGUAACACUGCAUUUUGGGGGGAGAAAGGGAAGUAGAGGAUUUCAGUAGCUUUCUUCCAAUAAAUGUUUUUCUCAA
Molecule: long non-coding RNA, 803 nt
Organism: Crotalus tigris (Tiger rattlesnake)
Lineage: Eukaryota; Metazoa; Chordata; Lepidosauria; Squamata; Viperidae
Exons: 2
Source: RefSeq, a predicted model, not a curated record